UUCCUCUUCACCGCCACACCAAAAUAGGAGAAACGUUUGGCACCUUCACAGAAAACCUAGACUCGUCGCACCUAUUUUCUCCCACGGCAGCCACCCUAUCUCAUGUCAAAAACACCUUGGAAACUGCCCAGACGCACACAGGAAACCUCUGUUUUGAUGUUCAGAAACAGAGCACUCCACCAUACCCAACCAGCUAGAGCACAAAGCCACGGAGUCACUGUGAGCUUCCACCUUCAGAUGCUGUCCUGGUUAAAGCUGAGACCAGCUGCCUCGUCCAGCUCUUUGCCUCUCUUCCACGCGUCUUCUCCGUCGAGUGCACGUUGCAAGACCUUCAUUUUCAAGCAGCUUCUCUCAUCGGAAACAGCCACCAUGCAAGGUAGCAGCUUUUCUUCGCCACACCACCAGCUUGUCAAAGUUUGUUCUCAGUUUCUUCAUUGUUUUCCCUUGGGUGAGCUUCUUUGGAUGUGUAACCAAGUGGAGGGAACUUAGACAGAAGCAUAAAUUGUGCAACAUACAGCUUGAAGAGGUGAUGAUGACUGUGUUUCUUGGUUCUCCAACUCAGCAGCUCUAUUGAUCUUCAACAGCCCCCCGCAAGAUGGAGAGUAGAUAUCUGCUACUCCCAUCUUGGACAUGCAAGAAUAAAAGCUUUGUGAGUCCAAAGC
Molecule: long non-coding RNA, 662 nt
Organism: Carya illinoinensis
Lineage: Eukaryota; Viridiplantae; Streptophyta; Magnoliopsida; Fagales; Juglandaceae
Exons: 3
Source: RefSeq, a predicted model, not a curated record